RNAcentral lists this microRNA precursor (125 nucleotides) under Nelumbo nucifera (sacred lotus). Its description in RNAcentral is "mir-393 microRNA precursor family". It matches the Rfam family "mir-393 microRNA precursor family". Lineage: Eukaryota; Viridiplantae; Streptophyta; Magnoliopsida; Proteales; Nelumbonaceae. The record is from Rfam by way of RNAcentral.
GGUGGAGAAUUCCAAAGGGAUCGCAUUGAUCCGAUUCCCUCCCCCAUACCAAAGUGGGCGGUUUUGAUUCUCCGUCUUCUUUUCUUUGAUUUAUCGGAUCAUGCGAUCUCUUCGGAAUUUUCCAU